GAUGAACGCUGGCGGCGUGCCUAAUACAUGCCAGUCGAGCGAACAGACGAGGAGCUUGCUCCUUUGACGUUAGCGGCGGACGGGUGAGUAACACGUGGGUAACCUACCUAUAAGACUGGGAUAACUUCGGGAAACCGGAGCUAAUACCAGAUAAUAUUUCGAACCGCAUGGUUCGAUAGUGAAAGAUGGCUUUGCUAUCACUUAUAGAUGGACCUGCGCCGUAUUAGCUAGUUGGUAAGGUAACGGCUUACCAAGGCAACGAUACGUAGCCGACCUGAGAGGGUGAUCGGCCACACUAGAAGUGAGACACGGUCCAGACUCCUACGGGAGGCAGCAGUAGGGAAUCUUCCGCAAUGGGCGAAAGCCUGACGGAGCAACGCCGCGUGAGUGAUGAAGGUCUUCGGAUCGUAAAACUCUGUUAUUAGGGAAGAACAAACGUGUAAGUAACUGUGCACGUCUUGACGGUACCUAAUCAGAAAGCCACGGCUAACUACGUG
RNAcentral lists this ribosomal RNA (497 nucleotides) under uncultured bacterium. RNAcentral describes it as "partial 16S ribosomal RNA". It matches the Rfam family "Bacterial small subunit ribosomal RNA", at positions 28 to 507 of the family's 1533-position model. The record is from RNAcentral.